RNAcentral lists this long non-coding RNA (1069 nucleotides) under Fukomys damarensis (Damara mole-rat). RNAcentral's name for it is "lncRNA (ENSFDAG00000023277.1)". Lineage: Eukaryota; Metazoa; Chordata; Mammalia; Rodentia; Bathyergidae. The record is from RNAcentral.
GGUCGCGCUCCCCGCGGUCUGCGCGUGGGGAGGCGGGGCACGCUUUGCUUCUCGGUGCACGCUCCUGUCACGUAGCCGGCGGAGCAGCAGGAGUCAGCCAAGUAGGCUGAGCCUGGGUCGUGGUGGCAGAAAAGCACAUGCACGGGCCGUGUUCGGUACAGUUCCAGGCUGCUGUCACCGGGCGUGCAGGGGCGUCCAGUGGAGGUGGAGGGAAAGGUGGGGUGAGGCUGAGAGUGCUGGCAGGGAGGUGCAGAUUGCUUCGUGUGCGAUGAGGACAUCAGAUGUGUUGAAGCAGGAGAGAAAAAUCCCUGUUUCAGAAAGUCACACUGUUGGCCAGAGGCGAAUAGAGGGAAGUAGGCUGGGGCUGGAAGGUGUGAGUUCAGAAAGCCACAAAGGAACAGUUAGGUGAGGGACCUGUUGGAUGCCUUGAUUGUGAUGAUGGAUACCCAGCUGGCACACAUUAUCAAAAAUUCUUAAACUGCAAUAUGUAAGCAAAAAGAAGCACCAGUGAUAAUCCCUCUUUCAUAGAGCAGGUGUGGGAAUUAAAAGGCAGAUGGGAGCACAGUGGCUGAACACAAGUAGGGCCUGGGCAUCGGAGAGGGGAAGAGGAUCCAGAACUAUUGCAGGGAGGAGGAGGGGCUGGGAGCCUGGUCCAUUGGAAAGACCAAGGACCAACACAAAGCAUGCAUGAGACUAGAACAAAUCAUAAGAGGACAAACUGAGUUUUUUCAGGCUGGAAAGAGCAGAAGGUUUAUGAAGGGACUUGGGAGCUAAUUUAAAAUAUGACAUAGAAGAGAUCUUUUCCUUAUUGCUCCAGAGCAAUAAAAGUAUGUGGGAAUGAGAGAGUAUGUCUGGGGAGGGAGAAAGAGAAGGGCUGAUUUCAGGUCAAAAUAAUGAACUUUUUACAACAUCCUCAGGACUGAACUGCUCCUCAGCAGACCUGCUCAAUCUCCAAAUGCUGUGAGGAGGUCUCUCCAUGGGACAAGAUGACGGACAAGAUUCCUCUUAGGUUACACCUAGUUGCAAGACAGUGGUUUGAAGUACAUAAGAGGUCUUUGACUAAACCUAC